UACGAGGGGGGGCAAGCGUUGUUCGGAAUUAUUGGGCGUAAAGGGUGCGUAGGCGGUUUGGUAAGUCUUAUGUGAAAUCUACAGGCUCAACUUGUAGUCUGCAUGAGAAACUGCCGGGCUUGAGUAUGGGAGAGGUGAGUGGAAUUCCUGGUGUAGCGGUGGAAUGCGCAGAUAUCAGGAGGAACACCGGUGGCGAAGGCGGGUCUCUGGGCCGAUAUUGACGCUGAGGAGCGAAAGCGUGGGGAGCGAACAGG
Molecule: ribosomal RNA, 254 nt
Filed under: uncultured bacterium
Lineage: Bacteria
Description: partial 16S ribosomal RNA
Rfam family: Bacterial small subunit ribosomal RNA
Source: RNAcentral